CCUACGGGUGGCAGCAGUGGGGAAUAUUGGGCAAUGGUCGCAAGCCUGACCCAGCAAUGCCGCGUGAGGGAAGAAGGCUUUGGGUUUGUAAACCUCCUUUACAGGGGAAGAGCAGAAGACGGUACGCCGAAAACAAGCUACGGCUAACUACGUGCCAGCAGCCACGGUAAUACGAAGGUGGCAAGCGUUGCGCGGAUUUACUGGGUGUAAAGGGUGUGUAGCCGGGAAGGCAAGUCAGAGGUGAAAUCCCGGGGCGCAAACUCCGAACUGCAUUUGAAACUGUUUUUCUUGAGUUCUGGAGAGGCAGACGGAAUGCCUUGUGUAGCGGUGAAAUGCGUAGAUAUAAGGAAGAACACCAGUGGCGAAGGCAGUAUGCUGGCCAGACACUGACGGUGAGGCGCGAAAGCGUGGGGAGCAAACAGGAUUAGAUACCCCUGUAGUC
RNAcentral lists this ribosomal RNA (442 nucleotides) under uncultured bacterium. Its description in RNAcentral is "partial 16S ribosomal RNA". It matches the Rfam family "Bacterial small subunit ribosomal RNA", at positions 338 to 795 of the family's 1533-position model. The record is from RNAcentral.